Molecule: long non-coding RNA, 764 nt
Organism: Apis mellifera (honey bee)
Lineage: Eukaryota; Metazoa; Arthropoda; Insecta; Hymenoptera; Apidae
Exons: 3
Source: RefSeq, a predicted model, not a curated record
AGGACUUAAAAGAUCGAUAUAUUGGAGGAAUUAAAGAAAAAAGAUAUUUAACGAGCUUAGUUGAUGCGAGAUAUUGCGCGACGAGUCGAUAUCUUUCAUUUUUGCCAGAAUUUUUGUGAAAAUUUUUCUUUUAUCGAUGAAUGUUAUCUGUUUGAAUACAACGAAUCUUUGGAAAAACAUCGAUCUUUCGUAUAUCGACAAUUGUCAAGCGAUAUGUGUUUUUCGUUUUCGUUUGUGGAUAAAUUAUGAUAUAUAUGAAGGUAUAAUCGAGCACUUAAUUCGAUUUUACGGAUAAGUUUGACAAGUUUUAAGUAUUGAUUAUGAAGAGUGUAAUGGAACAAAUGGAAUUAAAGGAAAAGAUCAUUUUUCAAUAAAUUGUUAGUUAAAGAAAAAUGCCUUAGGCUUCUUCAAUUGUCAUAUUUAUAUGAUACCAAUCAUCUGAAAGAUCCUGAAAGAAAUAUUAAAUUUAUAUUAUGAUAUUAUUAUUAUGAUUAUGUAAAAGAGGUUUUACAACUAUAGUAUAAUGAAUAUUUAACAAUAUUAAUAUAAAUCAUAAUAAUUGGAUAAGUUAAAUUUCAAAAAAGAAUUUAAUUUAAAAAUUUAAUUUCAAAUAAAAAUCCAAUAAAUUGCAUAGAAAGUUUUACGAUAAAUAAACGUUAUUAAUUAUUCAGAAGAGUAUAUUCAUUGUCUUGUGAAAGGAAACUAAUAUGGAAUACAAUCUUCCCUUACUUGAGGUUUGAGUCCAGUCACGUUCAUGCACGGGG